This 392-nucleotide ribosomal RNA is filed under the name uncultured bacterium. RNAcentral's name for it is "bacterial SSU rRNA". It matches the Rfam family "Bacterial small subunit ribosomal RNA", at positions 493 to 885 of the family's 1533-position model. The record is from RNAcentral.
CUCGCGUGUCGUGCCAGCCGCCGCGGUAAUACAGAGGGUGCGAGCGUUAAUCGGAAUUACUGGGCGUAAAGCGAGUGUAGGUGGCUCAUUAAGUCACAUGUGAAAUCCCCGGGCUUAACCUGGGAACUGCAUGUGAUACUGGUGGUGCUAGAAUAUGUGAGAGGGAAGUAGAAUUCCAGGUGUAGCGGUGAAAUGCGUAGAGAUCUGGAGGAAUACCGAUGGCGAAGGCAGCUUCCUGGCAUAAUAUUGACACUGAGAUUCGAAAGCGUGGGUAGCAAACAGGAUUAGAUACCCUGGUAGUCCACGCCGUAAACGAUGUCUACUAGCCGUUGGGGUCCUUGAGACUUUAGUGGCGCAGUUAACGCGAUAAGUAGACCGCCUGGGGAGUACGG